AAUUGGAGGGCAAGUCUGGUGCCAGCAGCCGCGGUAAUUCCAGCUCCAAUAGCGUAUAUUAAAGUUGUUGCAGUUAAAAAGCUCGUAGUUGAAUUUCGGGAUCAAUAUUUCGGUCAUGCCGUUGGUAUGCACUGUUAUCAUUGAUUUCUCACCUUCUAAAGAACCGUAAUGCCAUUAAUUUGGUGUUACGGGGAAUUAGGACUGUUACCUUGAAAAAAUUAGAGUGUUUAAAGCAGGCUCACGCUUGAAUACAUUAGCAUGGAAUAAUGAAAUAGGACAUCCGAUUCUAUUUUGUUGGUUUCUAGGAUCGAUGUAAUGAUUAAUAGGGAUAGUUGGGGGCAUUAGUAUUCAAUUGUCAGAGGUGAAGUUCUUGGAUUUAUUGAAGACUAACUACUGCGAAAGCAUUUGCCAAGGAUGUUUUCAUUAAUCAAGAACGAAAGUUAGGGGAUCGAAGACGAUCAGAUACCGUCGUAGUCUUAACCAUAAACUAUGCCGACUAGGGAUCGGAUGAUGUUAAUUUUUUAAUGACUCAUUCGGCGCCUUACGGGAAACCAAAGUGU
RNAcentral lists this ribosomal RNA (560 nucleotides) under uncultured Glomus. Its description in RNAcentral is "SSU rRNA". It matches the Rfam family "Eukaryotic small subunit ribosomal RNA", at positions 546 to 1106 of the family's 1831-position model. The record is from RNAcentral. Lineage: Eukaryota; Fungi; Glomeromycota; Glomeromycetes; Glomerales; Glomeraceae.